UAUUUAACAUAUUUUAAAUUAUUGUAUUAUUGAAAAAAAGUAUAAGAAAAAAUUAUUUUUAUAAAUAUUUUUAGUUUGUAUAAUCACGAAAUAUACAUCUUUGUGAAGUCUCUUAUUUAAUCAAAACUACAACUUAAUUAACUUACUUCUAAAUAAUUUUGAAAACUCUCAUUGGAACCGAAACACUCAAAAUCUAGUGAUUAAAGAUCAUGCGAUGACGUAGUUACAUUAAAUAUAUAUGAAUAAGAUCUUAGCAUGUUUUAUGAUGAUGUUGGUCUUUAAAUUGGACAUAAACUCAGAGAAGAACGUAUUCAAUUUAUUUACAGUCAAAAUUGCUUCUAAAUUUAGCUGCAGAAGGAAGGGUGCAUACUUUUUUAAAUCAAAAAGAUUUAAAAGUGUUUUCUUUAAUAAUUCUGAUAUUUGAAUUUUUUACGUUUAAAUAUUGCUGGUGAUCAACAGAAAUCAUGAAAGAAUGGAGAAAGUUUGAAAAGUUGAUACUACUCUAUUCUGCCAAGGAAAAAACCACACCAAAAUGUUCAUUAUCGAAAUUGAAUAAUUAUGCCUUGAGCUAUAAUUAUCUAUUUUAUAUCAUAAUUUAUUUGUAUACAUAAAAGUUUGCUUUUAUUAAACAAGUUUAGUAUAGAAA
Hydra vulgaris (swiftwater hydra) is the source of this 646-nucleotide long non-coding RNA. RefSeq lists it as uncharacterized. The record is from RefSeq and is a predicted model, not a curated record. NCBI's taxonomy places the organism in Eukaryota, Metazoa, Cnidaria, Hydrozoa, Anthoathecata, Hydridae.